This 216-nucleotide small RNA is filed under the name Pteropus vampyrus (large flying fox). RNAcentral describes it as "7SK RNA (ENSPVAG00000029698.1)". Lineage: Eukaryota; Metazoa; Chordata; Mammalia; Chiroptera; Pteropodidae. The record is from RNAcentral.
GGAUGUGUGGUCAUUUUGUGUCAUUUGUCUCCUUGGCGGACCAGGAUUAAUUUGGACCAUCUGACGAACCAGACAAGGAACUCUUUCCUCCCUCACCGGUUCCCAUAUAUUCCUUCCAAAACUGCAUGCUUAGUCAAGAAGAUGACUCUAGGUAGCGGGAGUAUAUUCUGAGGCCAAGAACGUUCUGAAGAGUAGAAAGAAACAAAACAAAUUGUU